GAUGAACGCUGGCGGCGUGCCUAAUACAUGCAAGUCGAGCGAACAGACGAGGAGCUUGCUCCUCUGACGUUAGCGGCGGACGGGUGAGUAACACGUGGAUAACCUACCUAUAAGACUGGGAUAACUUCGGGAAACCGGAGCUAAUACCGGAUAAUAUAUUGAACCGCAUGGUUCAAUAGUGAAAGACGGUUUUGCUGUCACUUAUAGAUGGAUCCGCGCCGCAUUAGCUAGUUGGGAAGGUAACGGCUUACCAAGGCGACGAUGCGUAGCCGACCUGAGAGGGUGAUCGGCCACACUGGAACUGAGACACGGUCCAGACUCCUACGGGAGGCAGCAGUAGGGAAUCUUCCGCAAUGGGCGAAAGCUUGACGGAGCAACGCCGCGUGAGUGAUGAAGGUCUUCGGAUCGUAAAACUCUGUUAUUAGGGAAGAACAAAUGUGUAAGUAACUAUGCACGUCUUGACGGUACCUAAUCAGAAAGCCACGGCUAACUACGUG
RNAcentral lists this ribosomal RNA (497 nucleotides) under uncultured bacterium. RNAcentral describes it as "partial 16S ribosomal RNA". It matches the Rfam family "Bacterial small subunit ribosomal RNA", at positions 28 to 507 of the family's 1533-position model. The record is from RNAcentral.